Molecule: small RNA, 628 nt
Filed under: Pongo abelii (Sumatran orangutan)
Lineage: Eukaryota; Metazoa; Chordata; Mammalia; Primates; Hominidae
Description: retained intron
Source: RNAcentral
AGCUGCAGGCGGCCACGCACCAGGGUGAGCCGCCCCCGUUCCCCUCCACCCACACCAGCGCUUACCCCUCUGGCUCUUCCGCUUUCUGUUCCUCCUACCCCUAAACAAAGCUGCUCUACCGGAAAGGAGGCUCCCCGUGCUUGGCCUCCCGAUCAACGGGACCCCGGCCCCAUGGCGGGAAGGGAAGGGGAUCACUUGACCCAUAUCCUUCCAGGCUGUGGAGCCGCGCCAGCUGGGAUCCAGGCCCCUCCUCAGUCGGCAGCCAAGCCAGGCCUGCACUUUAUAGACCAGCACCGGGCUGCGCUUAUCGCGAGGGUCACAAACGUUGAGUGGCUGCUGGAUGCCCUGUACGGGAAGGUCCUGACGGAUGAGCAGUACCAGGCAGUGCGGGCCGAGCCCACCAACCCAAGCAAGAUGCGGAAGCUCUUCAGCUUCACACCAGCCUGGAACUGGACCUGCAAGGACUUGCUCCUCCAGGCCCUAAGGGAGUCCCAGUCCUACCUGUUGGAGGACCUGGAGCGGAGCUGAGACUCCUUCCCAGCAAAACUCCGGUCAGCCCCUGGCAAUCCCACCAAACUCAUCCUGCAUCUGAUGUUUUUAUACACAAUAUAUGAAAAGCCAGCUUGAA